CUAAGGAGCCCUUUAAGUCACUCCCUACUGGUGACACCUGAGGACACAGCAUGGUGGGAAAGAGGGUAGAGGAAAAAUUAGAAGACAAGCAGCACGCAUAACUCACUAAGACUUUGCUGAACAGAAAGUAAAGCCAUAUUAUCUGGAAGAUGCAGGGAAAUGGAGUGUUCAGAGGCAAGGCUAUGUAUGAGCAGACCAGCCAACAUUUGCCAGUGUAGAGCAAGACACCAAAAGAGAUUUCAUCAUCCAGAGCUUGAUCUGUUGUGUACCAAGUUCACUUACUCAGAUUGUUAUAGCUAUUCUUUCUCUGGAACUUAUCAAGAACAGAACUUUGCUUUUUAUUUCUUUGAAAUCCCUUCACACCACCCAAUAUGGUAUGAUUGACUCUCCGGCAGUUAGGUGAUUUUGCCCCCGGGGUCAGAAGGGAAUCUGGUCUCCAUUGUCCUGCUCUGCAAACCUGGGAAAAUGUGGAAGGCCAAGUUUGGCUUUUGGAACUCUUUCAGAAACACUCCUCAGUUAUAACUUGGCAAGUAGGAGCAGUACUGGCAAUUGAACCCAGGACAUUGUACAUGCUAGACAAGUGUUCUACCAUUGAGCUACAUCCUCGGCCCUUUUUUAAAUUUUUGAGACACAGUCUCACUGAACUACAAUCCUCCUGUGUCAGCCCCUUGAGUAAUUAGGAUUACAGGAUUGUGCCACCAGAUCCAGCUCCUUUUUUUUUUUUUAAGGACUUUAAUUCUAACUCCUUUUAGUUAGGACUAUAAUAAAAACAAAUUUUAAAAUCCCCCAAUUUAUGGGCCAAGGAUGUAGCUCAGCAGCACAGCGCCUGCCUGACAGGGCAAAGCCCUGAGUU
Molecule: long non-coding RNA, 853 nt
Filed under: Heterocephalus glaber (naked mole-rat)
Lineage: Eukaryota; Metazoa; Chordata; Mammalia; Rodentia; Bathyergidae
Description: lncRNA (ENSHGLG00000037950.1)
Source: RNAcentral